GACGAACGCUGGCGGCGUGCUUAACACAUGCAAGUCGAACGGAAAGGCCCUGCUUUUGUGGGGUGCUCGAGUGGCGAACGGGUGCGUAACACGUGAGUAACCUGCCCUUGACUUUGGGAUAACUUCAGGAAACUGGGGCUAAUACCGGAUAGGAGCUCCUGCUGCAUGGUGGGGGUUGGAAAGUUUCGGCGGUUGGGGAUGGACUCGCGGCUUAUCAGCUUGUUGGUGGGGUAGUGGCUUACCAAGGGUUUGACGGGUAGCCGGCCUGGGAGGGUGACCGGCCACAUGGGUACUGAGGGACGGACCAGACGCCUACGGGAGGCAGCAGGGGGGAAUAUUGCACAAUGGGCGGAAGCCGGAUGCGGCAACGCCGCGUGCGUGAUGACGGCCUUCGGGGUGUAAAAAGCUUUCGCCUGUGACGAAGCGUGAGUGACGGUAAUGGGUAAAGAAGCACCGGCUAACUACGUG
This 468-nucleotide ribosomal RNA is filed under the name uncultured bacterium. RNAcentral's name for it is "partial 16S ribosomal RNA". It matches the Rfam family "Bacterial small subunit ribosomal RNA", at positions 28 to 507 of the family's 1533-position model. The record is from RNAcentral.